Molecule: ribosomal RNA, 253 nt
Filed under: uncultured bacterium
Lineage: Bacteria
Description: partial 16S ribosomal RNA
Rfam family: Bacterial small subunit ribosomal RNA
Source: RNAcentral
UACGUAGGGUCCGAGCGUUAAUCGGAAUUAUUGGGCGUAAAGCGUGCGCAGGCGGUUUUGUAAGCCAGAUGUGAAAUCCCCGGGCUUAACCUGGGAAUGGCAUUUGGGACUGCAAGGCUGGAGUGUGGCAGAGGAGACUGGAAUUCCUGGUGUAGCAGUGAAAUGCGUAGAUAUCAGGAGGAAUACCGAUGGCGAAGGCAGGUCUCUGGGCUGACACUGACGCUCAUGCACGAAAGCGUGGGGAGCAAACAGG